RNAcentral lists this ribosomal RNA (463 nucleotides) under uncultured bacterium. RNAcentral describes it as "partial 16S ribosomal RNA". It matches the Rfam family "Bacterial small subunit ribosomal RNA", at positions 28 to 507 of the family's 1533-position model. The record is from RNAcentral.
GACGAACGCUGGCGGCGUGCUUAACACAUGCAAGUCGAACGGAAAGGCCUUUUCGGCGGUACUCGAGUGGCGAACGGGUGAGUAACACGUGGGUGAUCUGCCCUGCACUCUGGGAUAAGCCUGGGAAACUGGGUCUAAUACCGGAUAGGACCGCACUUUAGUGUGUGUGGUGGAAAGUUGUUUCGGUGUAGGAUGAGCCCGCGGCCUAUCAGCUUGUUGGUGGGGUAAUGGCCUACCAAGGCGGCGACGGGUAGCCGGACUGAGAGGUUGGUCGGCCACAUUGGGACUGAGAUACGGCCCAGACUCCUACGGGAGGCAGCAGUGGGGAAUAUUGCACAAUGGGCGCAAGCCUGAUGCAGCGACGCCGCGUGGGGGAUGACGGCCUUCGGGUUGUAAACUCCUUUCGCCAGGGACGAAGCGUUUUGUGACGGUACCUGGAGAAGAAGCACCGGCUAACUACGUG